GGCAAGAUGGCCGAGUGGUUAUGGCGGUAGUCUCAAGUAUAUCUUGCCUUAGAUAACUAAGGUUGCUACUUCCGCAAGGAUCAGGGGUUCGAAUCCCCUUCUUGUCA
RNAcentral lists this transfer RNA (107 nucleotides) under Aspergillus avenaceus. It matches the Rfam family "tRNA". Rfam says of the family: Transfer RNA (tRNA) molecules are approximately 80 nucleotides in length. Their secondary structure includes four short double-helical elements and three loops (D, anti-codon, and T loops). The record is from Rfam by way of RNAcentral. Lineage: Eukaryota; Fungi; Ascomycota; Eurotiomycetes; Eurotiales; Aspergillaceae.